UCCGAGUUGACCCCGGCAGUCUCCUAUGAGUCCCCACCAUCACGUGCUGGCAACAUAGAACGAGGGUUGCGCUCGUUGCGGGACUUAACCCAACAUCUCACGACACGAGCUGACGACAACCAUGCACCACCUGUGCACGACCCUAAAAGGACCCCGCAUCUCUGCGGGAUUUCCGUGCAUGUCAAGCCUAGGUAAGGUUCUUCGCGUUGCAUCGAAUUAAGCAACAUGCUCCGCCGCUUGUGCGGGCCCCCGUCAAUUCCUUUGAGUUUUAGCCUUGCGGCCGUACUCCCCAGGCGGGGUGCUUAAUGCGUUAGCUGCGGCACGAACGGCGUGGAAUACCGCUCACACCUAGCACCCACCGUUUACGGCGUGGACUAC
This 378-nucleotide unclassified non-coding RNA is filed under the name uncultured Frankiales bacterium. RNAcentral's name for it is "contains 16S-23S intergenic spacer region". Lineage: Bacteria; Bacillati; Actinomycetota; Actinomycetes; Frankiales. The record is from RNAcentral.